AUUAGUUAAGAUCUUGAAAUCCAAAGAAUUUGGCGGUAUCUUAUUCCAUUCAGAGGAGCCUGUCUCGUAAUUGAUAAUACACGAUUAAUUUUACUUGAUUUAUUUGUUUGUAUAUCUCCGUUAUCAGAAGAUCUUUUUAGAGUUAUAAUUUUCUGAAUCUAUAAUUAUAAAUUAUUUCAGGUCAAGGUGCAGCUUAUAAUCAAGGGAAGAUGGGUUACAAUAAAUUUUUGUUUAUUAUGGAUUUAAUAUUGAAAUCUGUUAAUGAAGGUGGAUUUGAUAGUAAUUUAAUUUAUUUAAUUUAAUUGAUAUUGGCUCUUAGGUGUGUACACAU
This 331-nucleotide ribosomal RNA is filed under the name Traulia lofaoshana. RNAcentral's name for it is "partial 12S ribosomal RNA". The record is from RNAcentral. Lineage: Eukaryota; Metazoa; Arthropoda; Insecta; Orthoptera; Acrididae.